This 731-nucleotide ribosomal RNA is filed under the name uncultured organism. RNAcentral's name for it is "bacterial SSU rRNA". It matches the Rfam family "Bacterial small subunit ribosomal RNA", at positions 30 to 755 of the family's 1533-position model. The record is from RNAcentral.
UGAACGCUAGCGGCAGGCCUAACACAUGCAAGUCGAGGGGUAACAGGAGUAGCAAUACUUGCUGACGACCGGCGCACGGGUGAGUAACGCGUAUGCAACCUACCUUUGACUGGAGAAUAGCCCGAAGAAAUUCGGAUUAAUGCUCCAUGAGACCACAAUACCGCAUGAUAUAGUGGUAAAAGCUCCGGCGGUCAAAGAUGGGCAUGCGUGCCAUUAGUUAGUUGGUGAGGUUACGGCUCACCAAGACAACGAUGGCUAGGGGGUCUGAGAGGAUGAUCCCCCACACUGGUACUGAGACACGGACCAGACUCCUACGGGAGGCAGCAGUGAGGAAUAUUGGUCAAUGGACGCAAGUCUGAACCAGCCAUGCCGCGUGCAGGAUGAAUGCCCUAUGGGUUGUAAACUGCUUUUCUACAAGAAGAAACUUCCUGAUGUAUCAGGAACUGACGGUAUUGUAGGAAUAAGCAUCGGCUAACUCCGUGCCAGCAGCCGCGGUAAUACGGAGGAUGCAAGCGUUAUCCGGAUUCAUUGGGUUUAAAGGGUGCGUAGGCGGGGUAGUAAGUCAGUGGUGAAAGCCUGCGGCUUAACCGUAGAAUUGCCAUUGAUACUGCUAUUCUUGCAGUGCAGUUGAGGUAGGCGGAAUGUGUAAUGUAGCGGCGAACUGCUUAGAUAUUACACAGAACACCGAUUGCGUAGGCAGCUUACUAAACUGUAACUGACGCUGAGGCACG